CGGGCGAGCAUGUAGCGGCCACGGGCGGCGCGGGGCUCCCGGGGCGGGCCGGGCCGCGGGGGCCGCUCGCGGCGACAUGGACGAGGAGGGCAAGAAGGGCAAAAAGAGGGAGAAAACCCGGUUGCAGCACACCCUGUCAGCGGUGUUUUAUCACCUGGGGCAUGCAGAGAAGACACCAUGCGACAGCCACGGAUCUCCCGGAGCAUCCUGCUUGGGAACCCUCAUUUCCAGAGCUCUUCCUGAGUGUCUGGGUCCUACACAUCAUAAGAAACUCGUGCUUAUCUCCUCAGUGCCACAGCAUUUUGAAAGGGGCAUGAUUUGACUUUUGCAGGGAGGUCCUGGACGCCUGGCCCGCCUCGUGUCCCCAGUGCCUGCCUUCAGCUGUGGGACAUGGUUGUCUGACCCCCUGUUUUGCUUCAUCCGUUGUUGGGGUUUGGCCACGGAAGGAGUGGCACCCCUUAUUGGUCCCUUGUCCUGGACAGAACGAGCCCUGUGCCCACCACCAGGGUAGUGCAGAGAGGGCCUCACCCAGAACCCAGACGUACUGUGUGGCCACCGCGAAGCUGCCCCUGCUGGGGCUCCCCAGCAGCCCCUGCAGGGUGUCCCGCAGUUCCUUCUGCAGGGGUGUGGCCUUCCCAUCACAGGCCAAGAGCCUGGGCGCCCAGUCUGAGGCCGGCAGGAGGGGGCCCGUGUACUCAGGGUGCUCCAGCUGGGCGGUGGCGCUGAUGUGCAGCAGCUUCUGGAAGGUGCUCUGGUCCUUUGGGGACUCGCUGCCUGAGGCAGAAUGAGAAGGGAGGGUGAGCCGAGGCUGACGCCGGGCCAGAGAAAGAGGGGGAUCAGCCAGGGGACAGUGACAUCCUCACCUCCAAGUGACCCUGAAUUUGGCAUCAUCAGGGGCAGAGACAAGAGGUCAUGAGGGCCACGCAUAGGGAGGGAACGAGGGGGGCGGAAACAGGGGGACUGGUCCCUGGUGGGUGGUGGGGAGCUGCUCGCCUCCAGCCACACUGGGAGGAAGCUGUGGAAAACCCACACGUGGACGAAGCCUCCUGUGUCUCCCGAGAGGCUGUGCGAUGUUGGGUGUCCCCUCUGCUGUUGGUGGCUGUGGGGCCCGCCUGUGUGGGGCUGUCCGUGGUCCUGUCCAGGUGGCUCGGGGUGACCUGGGGAAGCUGGGCCAUUGCCUUCGCCUUUGUCACGACCUGCCCUUUAGGCAGAAGUGCAGAAACACCUGGUACCCUUGCAGGUGGUGCUCUCUGGGGGCCAUCAAUCAGCCAGGACUCCCCCCAGAAUGAGGCCCACCGUCACUUGGCACGUGCGGGCGUCGUGCAGCCAAUGGAGAGGUCAGACGGUGACGGGCUGCUCCUUGUCUCCUCCUCAGAGGGCGCACAAGGGGCCAGCAGUGGUGGCGGCACUUUCAGGCCCAGUUACUUAGCCGGGUGGCGUGGGGGCAACAGCCCUGCCAUUUGGGGGCUCCAUGCACCGUGGCUUCUGCCCGACUUGGGCUCUGUCGUGUGUCUUGGCCCCUCUAGGAGUGAUGGCCUUACCGCGUGGCAGCAUCAGUGCCCUGAGCCUUGUCUGCCAAGCACCCCAGCACCAGCGCUCACGUCAGCACGGGCACUUGUGGGCGGUGGGGGGCCUGUGUCGCUGGCUCUGCUCGGCCCGCUGGCCUGUAAUAGAGAGGGCCCCACCCAUGGGUGCUCUGGGCUGAGAGCAGACCUGGCCGAAAUUGUCCACGAGACAGACUCCUGAAACAGACCAGCGCUGGCGGAAAUGGGACCCGUCUAGUGAUUGGACGGGAUGGCGGCCCUGUGAGUGUGUUGGUCCCCCCGGGACCCCGCGAAGAUGCCACCCGUCUCUUCUCUGGAGCCCAAUGACUCAACUUCACGCUCCCCCGAGGAGUUGCCGCAGGCGCGGGGCCGCACACAGAAGGGUAAAACGCGUGCGUCCUUCGUACUCUGUGCCGACGAACAGCAGAUGGACAGAGACUGAAGUGAGAAACAAACUAGUUGAGCCGUAACAUACACAUAAGCAGAGUAAAAAGUCAAACAGGUGGAGAGGACAAGACCUGCGACUUCUAACAGGGAAGGUGAACAUCUCGUAAAUAACACAUGGAAGGCAGAGCAGAGGCCCGGGGCUGAGAGGAGAAACAGGCAAGACGUGGGAACAGACAGCUCAUGGAAAGAGAAACGCAAAAGGGUUUUGAUGUGUGAAGACACAGCUCAGACUCCUUAGAACAGAAAUGCAAACCGAGAGCACCUCUGGCCAUCGGUCCCUCCCCCCCAGGUCCACGGAAACCCCCCAGCUGACAGGGCGCCAUGGCAUUGACUGAGCCAGCAUCCCACUUCCGAGGACCGCCCAGGGACCUGCUGGCAGCAGUGGAGAGCAGUUUGUGCCCUGAGCUGUGCAUCGUGGCCACGUGCCACGUGUAGGUGCGCGUUCUCCAAACCGCGCUGCGCCCACACGCCGGCGGCAUGACCAGAGAGCCCUGUGAGCGGGCCCCAGGACGUGCGUGUGGGUGUACUCACUCUGAUAGUUUGUAAGUGGUCACCUGGAGGCAAGGAGAGUGGGACUGCUUAGCAUAAGCCUCAUGACCGCAACCAUCCAAUGUUCUGUAAUACUACAAAUUGAAUAAAAGCUUCUUAAAAUGUCA
Long non-coding RNA from Lynx canadensis (Canada lynx), 2647 nucleotides. RefSeq lists it as uncharacterized. The record is from RefSeq and is a predicted model, not a curated record. NCBI's taxonomy places the organism in Eukaryota, Metazoa, Chordata, Mammalia, Carnivora, Felidae. The transcript has 2 exons.